AUGGCCGGCAUGCUCCCUGGUAUCGAGUUCGCGAGGAGGAGAAGGCUCCGGCCGGCGGCGGAGGCGGCGUGCGCCGGCGCACGGCGGCCGGCGUCGCUCGGCGUGUUCUGGCACGACCACGCCCACCUCGGCUCGGCAGGCGCCACAGCACGGGAAGCCUCCGGCUCGCUGCAGCGAGAGGUGUUCACGAAGAAAUGCGGCGGCCGGCGGUUCAGCUGGGGCCGGAGGAAGGAGCAGCAGCAGCAGGCGGAGUGCGCGGUGUGCCUGGAGGAGUUCAGGGGCGGGGACGUGCUGGCGCACCUCCCCUGCGCGCACCGCUUCCACUGGGCCCGCGCCGUGCCCUGGGUCCAGGCCGCCUCCCGCUGCCCCUUCUGCCGCGCCGCCGUCCACCUCGCCGACCACCAGCUUGUUUAG
This 414-nucleotide ribosomal RNA is filed under the name Triticum aestivum (bread wheat). Its description in RNAcentral is "partial small subunit ribosomal RNA". Lineage: Eukaryota; Viridiplantae; Streptophyta; Magnoliopsida; Poales; Poaceae. The record is from RNAcentral.